This 510-nucleotide ribosomal RNA is filed under the name uncultured bacterium. RNAcentral's name for it is "partial 16S ribosomal RNA". It matches the Rfam family "Bacterial small subunit ribosomal RNA", at positions 28 to 507 of the family's 1533-position model. The record is from RNAcentral.
GACGAACGCUGGCGGCGUGCUUAACACAUGCAAGUCGAACGAAGAGCGAUGGAAGCUUGCUUCUAUCAAUCUUAGUGGCGAACGGGUGAGUAACGCGUAAUCAACCUGCCCUUCAGAGGGGGACAACAGUUGGAAACGACUGCUAAUACCGCAUACGAUCUAAACUCGGCAUCGAGGAUAGAUGAAAGGUGGCCUCUACAUGUAAGCUAUCACUGAAGGAGGGGAUUGCGUCUGAUUAGCUAGUUGGAGGGGUAACGGCCCACCAAGGCGAUGAUCAGUAGCCGGUCGGAGAGGAUGAACGGCCACAUUGGGACUGAGACACGGCCCAGACUCCUACGGGAGGCAGCAGUGGGGAAUCGUCCGCAAGGGACGAAAGUCUGACGGAGCAACGCCGCGUGAGGGAUGACGGCCGUCGGGUUGUAAAGCUCGGUUAAUCGGGACGAAAGGCCUUCUUGCGAAUAGUGAGAAGGAUUGACGGUACCGGAAUAGAAAGCCACGGCUAACUACGUG